GGCCGACGAGAGACCCUCGGACCUCAGUUUGGAACAGAAAGUAAAAUCCGAGAAAACGAAAGGAAAAAAAGAAAACAUCAACGACAAUGGGAGAAGAAGAAAUUAAGGAAGUUGAGAAUCCGAGGUCGAUGACGAAGGACCAGUUCCUUUCCUGGAAACGCCAGAAGGAUGAUGAUGCAUCUGCCAGAAGAGCUGAAGCAGAGAGGAAACGCGCAGAGGACAUUGCUGCAGGGUCAGUGCCAAUGAAUGGCCGAGAGCUUUUCGUGCACGAACCUUGGGUUUUUGAUAACACUAUUUAUUGAGGUACCUAAAAGGCAUCUGAGCUUUGGAAGGUGCAGAGCUGUGAUGCGGAGGAUCAGCUAUGGUCAUGUACCAAAACCCCAAUGGAGUCGAGAGCUGUGUAGCAGAAUUGACACUCUGGGGAUAGAAGAGAACAGCUGGUUGCUGGUUGAGGUAGGAUGGCCUCUGGUUCUCACCACCUAGGCCUGCCAUCAUCUGCUCACAGAAAACAAGUUGUAUACAACAGUAGUAUCAAUUUUAUCAAAUUUCUUGGUGAAGUAAAAUGAAACUGAUUGUUUGGGAACUGAUUUCCGCACAUCCAUUUUCUCUUUCUGCACACUCCUGUUCGUUUCUGUCUAUACCUUCUAUUUUGAUUUAUUCAAUCUAAUGACCAUAAAUAAACAGAGCAGUGUGUUCAGGGGGAA
Molecule: RNA transcript, 704 nt
Organism: Pyrus x bretschneideri (Chinese white pear)
Lineage: Eukaryota; Viridiplantae; Streptophyta; Magnoliopsida; Rosales; Rosaceae
Gene name: zinc finger CCCH domain-containing protein 15 homolog
Exons: 4
Source: RefSeq, a predicted model, not a curated record